RNAcentral lists this ribosomal RNA (899 nucleotides) under Acinetobacter sp. RNAcentral's name for it is "bacterial SSU rRNA". It matches the Rfam family "Bacterial small subunit ribosomal RNA", at positions 82 to 989 of the family's 1533-position model. The record is from RNAcentral. Lineage: Bacteria; Pseudomonadati; Pseudomonadota; Gammaproteobacteria; Moraxellales; Moraxellaceae.
GCUACUGGACCUAGCGGCGGACGGGAUAGUAAUGCUUAGGAAUCUGCCUAUUAGUGGGGGACAACAUCUCGAAAGGGAUGCUAAUACCGCAUACGUCCUACGGGAGAAAGCAGGGGAUCUUCGGACCUUGCGCUAAUAGAUGAGCCUAAGUCGGAUUAGCUAGUUGGUGGGGUAAAGGCCUACCAAGGCGACGAUCUGUAGCGGGUCUGAGAGGAUGAUCCGCCACACUGGGACUGAGACACGGCCCAGACUCCUACGGGAGGCAGCAGUGGGGAAUAUUGGACAAUGGGGGGAACCCUGAUCCAGCCAUGCCGCGUGUGUGAAGAAGGCCUUAUGGUUGUAAAGCACUUUAAGCGAGGAGGAGGCUACUUUAGUUAAUACCUAGAGAUAGUGGACGUUACUCGCAGAAUAAGCACCGGCUAACUCUGUGCCAGCAGCCGCGGUAAUACAGAGGGUGCGAGCGUUAAUCGGAUUUACUGGGCGUAAAGCGUGCGUAGGCGGCUUAUUAAGUCGGAUGUGAAAUCCCCGAGCUUAACUUGGGAAUUGCAUUCGAUACUGGUGAGCUAGAGUAUGGGAGAGGAUGGUAGAAUUCCAGGUGUAGCGGUGAAAUGCGUAGAGAUCUGGAGGAAUACCGAUGGCGAAAGCAGCCAUCUGGCCUAAUACUGACGCUGAGGUACGAAAGCAUGGGGAGCAAACAGGAUUAGAUACCCUGGUAGUCCAUGCCGUAACGAUGUCUACUAGCCGUUGGGGCCUUUGAGGCUUUAGUGGCGCAGCUACGCGAUAAGUAGACCGCCUGGGGAGUACGGUCGCAGACUAAACUCAAUGAUGACGGGGCCGCACAGCGUGGAGCAUGUGGUUUAUCGAUGCACGCGAGACUACUGGCUGACUACUAGAACUUC